RNAcentral lists this long non-coding RNA (208 nucleotides) under Elaeis guineensis (African oil palm). RNAcentral describes it as "long non-coding RNA (EGUI_LNC002916)". Lineage: Eukaryota; Viridiplantae; Streptophyta; Magnoliopsida; Arecales; Arecaceae. The record is from RNAcentral.
CUGGUGGUAGGGCAAGUGAAAGGAGACUUUGAGGCUCAAGAAGAGAAUAUGAAAAAGUACCUCUAGAAGGUGAAGGACCAAACUUUGAUAUUUGCUGACUUUGACAUUUAGUAGGUAUCUCGAUCUAAAAUUUUGAGAGCCGAUCUACUAUCCAAAUUGGCAACAUUUGCUCCAAAAGAUCUCCUCUAGAAAUUAUUCUUCAAGGUUC